UGUCCCGGCCUUGGACACCCGCCGGUCACAAUGGGAAGGGUGAACAGAAGACAGGUAGCUAUCUCGGGAGGGCUUGGCACGGUUUGCCGAUGACUGGGGAGUCGUAACAAGGGUAGCGGUAUCGAAGUGCGGCUUGAUCACCUCCUUUGAGCAUGGAGGUCAUCGUCUUGCGGGGCGUUCCUUCACAAAAUACCUGCAUUCAGAAGAUGCGUAUCGGCACAGCGGUAUGCGAAAGUCCCAUCAUGGGCUUAGCUCAGCUGGGAGAGCACCUUGCUUUGCAAGCAGGGGGUCGUCGGUUCGAUCCCGACAGGCUCCACCAUUUGAGUGAAACGACUUUGGGUCUGUAGCUCAGGUGGUUAGAGCGCACCCCUGAUAAGGGUGAGGUCGGUGGUUCGAGUCCUCCCAGACCCACCACUCUGAAUGUAGUGCACACUUAAGAAUUUAUAUGGCUCAGCGUUGAGGCUGAGACAUGUUCUUUUAUAACUUGUGACGUAGCGAGCGUUUGAGAUAUCUAUCUAAACGUGUCGUUGAGGCUAAGGCGGGGACUUCGAGUCCCUAAAUAAUUGAGUCGUAUGUUCGCGUUGGUGGCUUUGUACCCCACACAACACGGCAUGUGACCCUGAGGCAACUUGGGGUUAUAUGGUCAAGCGAAUAAGCGCACACGGUGGAUGCCUAGGCGGUCAGAGGCGAUGAAGGACGUGGUAGCCUGCGAAAAGUGUCGGGGAGCUGGCAACAAGCUUUGAUCCGGCAAUAUCCGAAUGGGGAAACCCACUGCUUCGGCAGUAUCCUGCAGUGAAUUCAUAGCUGCUGGAAGCGAACCCGGUGAACUGAAAUAUCUAAGUAACCGGAGGAAAAGAAAUCAACCGAGAUUCCCUAAGUAGUGACGAGCGAACGGGGAGCAGCCCUUAAGCUGGAAUGGCUUUAGAAAAACAAUCUGGAAAGAUUGGCCAUAGAAGGUGAUAGCCCUGUAUUUAAAAGGGCCACUCCAGUGAAGACGAGUAGGGCGGGGCACGUGAAACCCUGUCGAAUAUGGGGGGACCAUCCUCCAAGGCUAAAUAUCCGACCGACCGAUAGAACAGACGG
RNAcentral lists this small RNA (1083 nucleotides) under Xanthomonas sp. Cunk. Its description in RNAcentral is "bacterial LSU rRNA". The stretch from base 642 to 1083 matches the Rfam family "Bacterial large subunit ribosomal RNA", at positions 1 to 499 of the family's 2925-position model. Lineage: Bacteria; Pseudomonadati; Pseudomonadota; Gammaproteobacteria; Lysobacterales; Lysobacteraceae. The record is from RNAcentral.